GAUGAACGCUGGCGGCGUGCCUAAUACAUGCAAGUCGAGCGAACAGACGAGGAGCUUGCUCCUUCGACGUGAGCGGCGGACGGGUGAGUAACACGUAUGUAACCUACCUAUAAUACGGGUAUAACUUCGGGAAACCGGAUCUAAUACGGUAGAAGAUUUCGAACCGCAGGGGUGGAUAGUGAAAUAUGGCGUUUCUAGAACGUCUAGAGGGACCUCCGCCGUAUUAGAUGGUUGUGAAGUUAACAGCUUACGAAGGGAAGGAUACGUAGGCGACCGGAGAGGGGGAUCGGCCACCUUGGAAGUGAGCCACGGUCAAUACUCCUAAGGGACGGCGCAGUAGGGAAUGUUCCGCAACGGGCGAAAGCAUGACGGAGUAACGCCGAGUGAGUGAUGACGGUCCCGCGAUCGUAAAAACCUGUUACUAGGGAAGAACAACCUUGUCAGUAAAUGAGGACGUAUUGACGGUAAUUAAUAAGAAAGCACCGGCUAACUACGUG
RNAcentral lists this ribosomal RNA (497 nucleotides) under uncultured bacterium. Its description in RNAcentral is "partial 16S ribosomal RNA". It matches the Rfam family "Bacterial small subunit ribosomal RNA", at positions 28 to 507 of the family's 1533-position model. The record is from RNAcentral.